This 207-nucleotide ribosomal RNA is filed under the name uncultured bacterium. RNAcentral's name for it is "partial 16S ribosomal RNA". It matches the Rfam family "Bacterial small subunit ribosomal RNA", at positions 568 to 774 of the family's 1533-position model. The record is from RNAcentral.
UGCGUAGGUGGUGGGGUAAGUCUCGUGUGAAAGCUCGCAGCUUAACUGCGAAAAGUCACGGGAUACUAUCCGGCUAGAGGCUUGGAGGGGGGACUGGAAUACUUGGUGUAGCAGUGAAAUGCGUAGAUAUCAAGUGGAACACCAGUGGCGAAGGCGAGUCCCUGGACAAGACCUGACACUGAGGCACGAAACGACGGGAGGGCAACA